Molecule: ribosomal RNA, 443 nt
Filed under: uncultured bacterium
Lineage: Bacteria
Description: partial 16S ribosomal RNA
Rfam family: Bacterial small subunit ribosomal RNA
Source: RNAcentral
CCUACGGGAGGCAGCAGUGGGGGAUAUUGGACAAUGGGGGGAACCCUGAUCCAGCGACGCCGCGUGAGUGAAGAAGUAUUUCGGUAUGUAAAGCUCUGUCAGCAGGGAAGAAAGAAAUGACGGUACCUGACCAAGAAGCCCCGGCUAACUACGUGCCAGCAGCCGCGGUAAUACGUAGGGGGCAAGCGUUAUCCGGAAUUAUUGGGUGUAAAGGGAGCGUAGACGGUUAAGUAAGUCUGGAGUGAAAGGCCGGGGCCCAACCCCGGGACUGCUCUGGAAACUAUUGAACUUGAGUGCAGGAGAGGUAAGCGGAAGUCCGAGUGUAGCGGUGAAAUGCGUAGAGAUUAGGAGGAAGACCAGUGGCGAAGGCGGCUUACUGGACUGUAACGGACGUUGAGGCUCGAAAGCGUGGGGAGCAAACAGGAUUAGAUACCCUUGUAGUC